Zeugodacus cucurbitae (melon fly) is the source of this 918-nucleotide long non-coding RNA. RefSeq lists it as uncharacterized. The transcript has 2 exons. The record is from RefSeq and is a predicted model, not a curated record. Lineage: Eukaryota; Metazoa; Arthropoda; Insecta; Diptera; Tephritidae.
GUUUCAUCUAUCGUAAUGACCGUUUGCAAAAUUAAAUAUGUACCUAUUUCGCUUUUUACGUACAUAUGUAUGGACAUAAGUAUGAACUCCAUAAUUCACAAUAUUUACAAUAAAGUUCUACAUAUGAAUAUGCGCACAUUUAGCUUCAACAAAAACAUAUAUCGCGAAUACAUCUCGUCCUUCAAUUAUAACUAAUAAUUUUCGAAAGCCAAGCUGCCUAAAAGAUUCACUUGGUUUAUUUUUUCUAAAAAUACAUAAGUUACAUAAGAACUAAAUUGAAGUGGAAUGGACAUUUUACACAUAAAAAGGCAUAGCAUUGACAUUCAAGUGUGAGUAAAGUAAAUUAUCAUCAGCAUUAUUAAACUGAUAAUGCAAAUACGAGUACAUUCCAUUGUCGCAUUUUAACACCGGUGCUUACUCCUCACUUUUAUCAGUUCGACAACUCACCAAACCUAACCUAAUUUAUUUAUUAACCUAUCAAUUUUGCGGAGUAUUUAUUGCAUUUGUAUUAAUAAAUAUCACUAAAUACCUUUCGGUAAAUUUGUGGUAGGAAAGCGCGCGUUGCAUUCCGUUAUGUGGUAAUGAUUGUUAUACAAUCGUAUUGUAUAAUAUUGCACGUUUAUCUGUAAAGUCUUAUUGUUGCCUUGAAAUUACACUUACCCCACGCGAAUGCGGUGUUUAUAUACAGAAUCAAUAUAUAAAAUAUUCUACGUUGGAAGUUUAGCAUAUUGUUGUAGUCCAGUCUAUUCCUGAAGGUGAUGAUAAUUCUUCAAACCGGGUGACUUAGGUGAGAAGUGUUGUAAAUUAUAUUUAUUAGCAUAUAAUUUGCAUGAAGAACUUCUAUAUAUUCGUGGUACAAUUGUCCCGUUUGAAGUACUCCGAUAUUUUUUUAACACUGCACCGCAACCGUAACGAAUU